Molecule: long non-coding RNA, 176 nt
Organism: Maylandia zebra (zebra mbuna)
Lineage: Eukaryota; Metazoa; Chordata; Actinopteri; Cichliformes; Cichlidae
Source: RefSeq, a predicted model, not a curated record
CUCAGCCAAUUAAAUUACGCUGUUUGAUCACAUGACACCGUUAGCCAGCAGUGUGUCUCCUAAAAGAGAGCUGUUUAAAGAGGCAGUUUUGAAUUUAGGAGCAGCAAGAUGGCAGCGGCAAACCCUGGCGGUUCUCCGGUACUGCACUCUCAAAGACUGAAUGAACCAGCAUUGCC